GUGGGUGUAGGCUAGAGGUCAGUCACUGCAUUUGGGAUGCAGGCAACGCAGGUUCGAAUCCUGCCACCCGCC
RNAcentral lists this transfer RNA (72 nucleotides) under Bacillus gaemokensis. RNAcentral describes it as "tRNA-Pro". It matches the Rfam family "tRNA". From Rfam's summary of the family: Transfer RNA (tRNA) molecules are approximately 80 nucleotides in length. Their secondary structure includes four short double-helical elements and three loops (D, anti-codon, and T loops). The record is from RNAcentral. Lineage: Bacteria; Bacillati; Bacillota; Bacilli; Caryophanales; Bacillaceae.